Aegilops tauschii subsp. strangulata is the source of this 2053-nucleotide long non-coding RNA. RefSeq lists it as uncharacterized. Lineage: Eukaryota; Viridiplantae; Streptophyta; Magnoliopsida; Poales; Poaceae. The record is from RefSeq and is a predicted model, not a curated record.
UCCCAGAUCUCAUCCACCUCCCACGAUCUUCUCAGCCUCCUCCUCUCAUUCAGUCCCCUCGACCAUCCACGAUCCCCUGUUACUACUCCUCUCCCCCUCCCCUCAACCCCCUUCACCAAGAUCUACUCUACCGCGGUGAUCUUCCUCCUCCUCCCUACUUCCCCUAGGCCCCAAUCCCGUCCACCAAGAUCUUCUCUCAAACAAAGAUCUUCCUCCUCUCCCCCCUAAUCCCCCGCCCCUCUCACGAUCGGCUUUGUCUCCUCCCCCAUCCAACAAAACCCCCUCCACCUAGAUCUACUGUGCCAUUGAGAUCUUCUUCCUCCUCCCCUCAAUCUCCUCCACCCAGAUCUACUAUAUCUCCGAGAUCUCGCCCCUUCUACCGCCACGAUCCGCUCUGUCUCCUCUCCCUCGCCCCUCCAAUCUACUCCACCUAGAUCUACACUUCAAUCGAGAUCUUCUAGUGGGUGGUAGGUCUUUCCGUCAUCUGACCUCCUAAUCGGCAUACUUUUGGAGCUACCACGCCAUGGAGCAGCACUUACCCUAAUCCACUGCGCCACCCGUGGAGCACCCAGAAUGGGUGAUAUAAACAAGAGGAAGAAAUUAGCGCAAGAGAGUUGUAAUUUUGGAAUCUCAGACCUCCCGGAUGAUAUGCUUGAGCACAUAGUAUCCUUCCUAUCAUUGAAUGAGGCCGUGAGGACUUGUGUUCUUUCCAAGAAUUGGAGCUACAUAUGGAAAUUUGUGCCUACCCUACGUAUUUCUGAUACAAUCGAUAAAUGUAACAACUUAAUAGACAAUUUUUUGCGUGGCCGUGGAAACACCGCAAUCAUUGUUUGUGAUAUCGAGUUGACUAAUCUCGAGAAGGUAGAAAUGCAUGACAUGAUAGACACAUGGAUCUUUCAUAUCGUGAAUCUUUGCCAUGUUCAGGAGCUCAGAGUCAUUAGCUGUAUAGAGGAUGAUUUCCUACAGUUCAGGGAUCAAGCUCUCAUCUCCAAGCACUUGAAGAGGUUAGAGCUUGAUAAGGUUUGCUUAAAAGCUAGCACUAUUGAUUUCUCAAGCUGCCCUGCAUUGGAAGAAAUAGAUCUGAUGUUUUGUUGGAUUGAAGCAAAUUACAUUAUAUCAAAGUCAUUAAAGCGCCUGAUUGCAGUGGAAUGUGAAUUUGAUAGUGGGUGCACGCACUCACAUUUCUGUCCCCAACCUCAUCUUUCUUAAGUUAACUGAUAUUUGGCAUUAUACUCCUUUAUUUGAAGCCAUGCCUUCACUUGAAGUUGGAUAUGUCAGUCUAGGCGAGGACUGUUUAGACUAUUGUAACAAUAAUAAAUCUUGGGGAUGUGAUAAUGUGGACUGCGGUUUUGGUUGCACUGAUGGUUACAAAUAUGAUAGCAUUCUUCUGGAAGGUUUAUCAAAUGCCAGUUACUUGGAGUUGCUAAGUGAACCAAGCAUGUUCAUUUUUGAUAGGGAUUUGCGGCGAUGCCCUACAUUUCGAAACUUGAGGACACUGAUACUCAAUGAAUGGUUUUUGGUUGCUAACCUCCAUGGACUUGCACGCGUUCUUCGCAACUCACCUAUUCUAGAGGAGCCGAAUCUCCUACUUUUAGAGGAGCCUAAAGAGGUGGUCGAAUCUAACGGAGAACAUUAUCAACUGGAACAUCCCCUAUUAAUGGAGACCCUUAAGGAAGUCAAAGUCAAUUGUGAAAGACAAUAUAUGUGGGUUCAGGAAAUAAUAAAUAUUUUGAUUACUUUUGGUAUAUCGCCUGAGAUAAUUAUUGUCAAAGAGAGCCAAAUGCAUCCAGAUGUCAUUUAGCUAUUGGGCUUUUAAAACUCCAAAGAUUUAUUACUCCCCUACUUUUCUUAGUGGACUGAAUCAUGUAUGUCAACUCAGCAAUGGAGAUAUAUUACCCCUGCACAAGUGCACCUAUUUUCUUAUUGUAGUUUGCAUACAUAUACAUAGACCGUGAGUUGUAUUCUUAAACUUGCAUGAAAAUAUACAAGGCGACAUAUUGACAGAUCUUGACAACAAAAUGUAUGUUUUAAAUUUGAUUGUAUUCUGAAUUUA